Molecule: ribosomal RNA, 253 nt
Filed under: uncultured bacterium
Lineage: Bacteria
Description: partial 16S ribosomal RNA
Rfam family: Bacterial small subunit ribosomal RNA
Source: RNAcentral
UACGUAGGUGGCGAGCGUUGUCCGGAUUUACUGGGCGUAAAGGGAGCGUAGGCGGACUUUUAAGUGAGAUGUGAAAUACUCGGGCUCAACUUGAGUGCUGCAUUUCAAACUGGAAGUCUAGAGUGCAGGAGAGGAGAAUGGAAUUCCUAGUGUAGCGGUGAAAUGCGUAGAGAUUAGGAAGAACACCAGUGGCGAAGGCGAUUCUCUGGACUGUAACUGACGCUGAGGCUUGAAAGCGUGGGGAGCAAACAGG